RNAcentral lists this ribosomal RNA (614 nucleotides) under uncultured bacterium. Its description in RNAcentral is "bacterial SSU rRNA". It matches the Rfam family "Bacterial small subunit ribosomal RNA", at positions 93 to 775 of the family's 1533-position model. The record is from RNAcentral.
GUAUGGCGAACGGGUGAGUAACACGUAGGCAACCUGCCCAAAAGAGGGGGAUAACACUUGGAAACAGGUGCUAAUACCGCAUACUUUUGGAUGGGCCUGCGGCGUAUUAACUUGUUGGUGGGGUAACGGCCUACCAAGGUGAUGAUACGUAGUCGAACUGAGAGGUUGAUCGGCCACAUUGGGACUGAGACACGGCCCAAACUCCUACGGGAGGCAGCAGUAGGGAAUCUUCCACAAUGGACGAAAGUCUGAUGGAGCAACGCCGCGUGAAUGAAGAAGGCCUUCGGGUCGUAAAAUUCUGUUGUCAGAGAAGCGGUAUCUGACCAGAAAGCCACGGCUAACUACGUGCCAGCAGCUGCGGUAAUACGUGGGUGGCGAGCGUUGUCCGGAUUUAUUGGGCGUAAAGGGAACGCAGGCGGUCUUUUAAGUCUGAUGUGAAAGCCUUCGGCUUAACCGAAGUAGGCAUUGGAAACUGGAAGACUUGAGUGCAGAAGAGGAGAGUGGAACUCCAUGUGUAGCGGUGAAAUGCGUAGAUAUAUGGAAGAACACCAGUGGCGAAAGCGGCUCUCUGGUCUGUAACUGACGCUGAGGUUCGAAAGCGUGGGUAGAAACAG